RNAcentral lists this ribosomal RNA (574 nucleotides) under uncultured bacterium. RNAcentral's name for it is "bacterial SSU rRNA". It matches the Rfam family "Bacterial small subunit ribosomal RNA", at positions 338 to 916 of the family's 1533-position model. The record is from RNAcentral.
CCUACGGGAGGCAGCAGUAAGGAAUAUUGGACAAUGCUCGCAAGAGUGAUCCAGCCAUGCCGCGUGCAGGAAGAAUGCCCUAUGGGUAGUAAACUGCUUUUGAACUAGAGAAAACCCCAGUACGUGUACUGGGCUGAUAGUAUAGUUAGAAUAAGCAUCGGCUAACUUCGUGCCAGCAGCCGCGGUAAGACGAAGGAUGCAAGCGUUAUCCGGAUUCAUUGGGUUUAAAGGGAGCGUAGGUGGACUGAUAAGUCAGUGGUGAAAUCUCCGAGCUUAACUCGGAAAUUGCCAUUGAUACUGUUGGUCUUGAGUACAGUUGCUGUGGGCGGAAUAUGACAUGUAGUGGUGAAAUACAUAGAGAUGUCAUAGAACACCGAUUGCGAAGGCAGCUCACAAAGCUGUAACUGACACUGAGGCUCGAAAGUGCGGGGAUCAAACAGGAUUAGAUACCCUGGUAGUCCGCACCGUAAACGAUGAUUACUCGCUGCUAGGGGGCAACCUUAGUGCCUAGCGAAAGCGAUAGUAAUCACCUGGGGAGUACGCCGGCAACGGUGAAACUCAAAGGAAUUGACGG